Molecule: ribosomal RNA, 253 nt
Filed under: uncultured bacterium
Lineage: Bacteria
Description: partial 16S ribosomal RNA
Rfam family: Bacterial small subunit ribosomal RNA
Source: RNAcentral
UACGUAGGGUGCGAGCGUUAAUCGGAAUUACUGGGCGUAAAGCGUGCGCAGGCGGUUCUGAAAGUCAGCUGUGAAAGCCCCGGGCUUAACCUGGGAAUUGCGGUUGAAACUACAGGGCUAGAAUCUGGCAGAGGGGGGUGGAAUUCCACGUGUAGCAGUGAAAUGCGCAGAUAUCAGGAGGAACACCAAUUGCGAAGGCAGCUCGCUGGGACGUAACUGACGCUGAGACGCGAAAGCGUGGGGAGCAAACAGG